Molecule: long non-coding RNA, 803 nt
Filed under: Elaeis guineensis (African oil palm)
Lineage: Eukaryota; Viridiplantae; Streptophyta; Magnoliopsida; Arecales; Arecaceae
Description: long non-coding RNA (EGUI_LNC008578)
Source: RNAcentral
UUCCUCACUUACCAACAGAUUUUCCAAAUCAGCUAGCCAAUCAUUUCACUUUCUUUCAUCGUCCAUCCAUCCGGCUCCAUCUACCAUGGUCCAGGCCCCUCCUUUAACUGGAGCUAAUGCCAUUUCUCUGGGUGCUCGGGCCAGACCCCGACAUGAGCCUGACAUCCUGGGGAAAGGCCCAAUGUGGUUCUGUAAUCCCCUCGGACAAGUAUCAAUACCAUCUCAAUCACAUUUGCAGUCUUUGAAUAAUCAUCAUCGUCCACUAUUCCCUCCUUGCCAUGCCAAUUGAAGUUCAUCCGGAUCCCGCACCCGACCCCUGAUGGAGGUUGGCUCAAAGCUAAGAAUCAAAAGUGGCAUCAUUCCCAACCCUUCUUAGUGGGUAGCUCCACCUUUAAGAUGACGUUGAUGACCCCUCACCAAACAACCCACUCUUCUUAUGGACGGGCAUUUGAUGCUAAGAGUUUUAAAACUUGCCGUCUAGUCUCUCAUCAAACGUUCAUCAACGGCAUAUCCACCGAGUGAUGGAGCAGUGAUCUUGCAUUCCGUCGUCCAUCAAAGCAUUCGGCAUUAGCAUCGCUCAAAAGGUCUGGUCACUUUCCAUCACCUUCCACAGCUUCUUCUCCCUCUUUCCAUUCCCUGGCCUUUAAAAAGGGCUUCUACUUUUGCUGUGGGGAUCCAGAUCACUUCAAAAUAGAGUGCUGUAACCCAUUAUGAUGCCUUCGCUGUAGAAAAUUUAGCCAUUCCUAUAAGACCUAUAAGGUGUCUUUUGUCCCCAAUCCAAAUUCUCCUCCGGUUGAUAUCCC